RNAcentral lists this long non-coding RNA (238 nucleotides) under Lathyrus oleraceus (garden pea). RNAcentral's name for it is "Pisum sativum (pea) long non-coding RNA (PSAT_LNC032925)". Lineage: Eukaryota; Viridiplantae; Streptophyta; Magnoliopsida; Fabales; Fabaceae. The record is from RNAcentral.
GUCUUUUGGGUUGUAACGGGGCUUUGAUUUAGGUGGGGUAUGAAAUUUGAACAAAGGUUUUUGGUUCAGAGUACAUGAACUCAUUCUCUCACUACGUUUCUUUCCUAUUAUUCCUGUAGGGUUUUGUAAUCCUCUUUUCCUUUUAUCUAUAAUGAAUGUAGCAUUUUUCAAAAGUUGUUCUUUUAUUGUUUUUCGCUUUUCUCUUUCUUUCUUUUGAUGUUGUUGUUGUUUUUCUUUU